RNAcentral lists this long non-coding RNA (939 nucleotides) under Betta splendens (Siamese fighting fish). RNAcentral's name for it is "lncRNA (ENSBSLG00000010591.1)". The record is from RNAcentral. Lineage: Eukaryota; Metazoa; Chordata; Actinopteri; Anabantiformes; Osphronemidae.
AUUACUUUGACGUCCGCUGUUGUGGUUCAGCGGGAGCUUUGCAGCGCUCCGUUGUCUGGUGAAUAGAGCUUUGAUUGAUGCCUGUAUUUAUGCAGUCAGAGGCGUGGGAGGAGACCGGUGAACACAAUGCUGCCUGCUGAUGCCCUUAAACAUCCAGCUGCCUGACUGACUCAUGCAGAGAGAUUAAGAGAGCACGUUGAAGUACUGUCUUGACUGCUGUCAACCUGACGCAGAGUCAGCUUUGGGGACGAUCAUUCAAUCUGUUGUAUUAAUAAUGAUAAUUAUCACCGCUUGCUUUUAAUAUAGCGCCCUCUGCAGGUCAAAGGUCGUUAAAACAUCAUCAGACGGACGUUAAGCAAACACACACCACUCACAUGAUGUAGAAGCAUCAAGGGAAACACGAAAACACGGUGAAUGUGACAACGACGAGAUUGGAGAAGCCACUGACAAUAUAAUUAAAGUGCAAUUGUUGUUUUUAAGGAUGGAUUCUCUUCUGAUCUGAGACUGUGGACAGAGAACUCAGCAGCAGCUCGGCGAUUUAUAUACACGUCUGCAACCCAGAGAACCUACGGAGACGUUUGUCUCCAGGCGUUUCCUCCUCGUGUGAAGCCUCCAGAACCAACCUUCUCCAGUUCUGCAGACCCAGUGAGUGAGCGGCCGUCCUCCAGGCGUUACAGCAGCCGACCCCAGCUGUGGCAGCUGCAGCGCAUGUCCACGGUCGGGUCACAUCCCCCUGUGCUGGUCAGGACUCUGGUCCAACACGCUGUAAAUGUUCAAGCCCGCUCUGAAGCUGAAGCGUUGCCGCGCGUUCGCAGCGGCGCGAUCGGCUCCGAGAGCACGGACGACGUGGACGACAGGGACGCAGAUUUCCACCCGCUGACCCUGAAGAGGAGCCUCGUGCCCCCGUACACCCUCACGUCACGGUGAGACACACCAGAG